CAUUCGUGUCUGCCGCCGCCACUCUAUUCCUCGGGAUCCAUCCUGAUCCACCUCAUCUUCAGCCACCCACCAAUCAGAGCAGCGCCCGACCUUCCCUGUCACAUCCAUCCCAUCGAUCCAGCCGCAGCCUCCUUCUCCUCGUGCCCACAUCCCACCGAGCUCCUUGGCUUGCGCACCAGCGCCCGAGCUCCCUGCUGCUUACCACCGGAGGCGUCACCGGCAACCCGAGGCCUCGUCGUCGCGCCCCUCGAGCGGGGAACCAUGGCGCCGCCACUUGGAGCUCCAUGACCACGCCUCCCUCUCCCGUCUCCGGCCAGAUCCAUGGCCCGGGGACCAGAUCCGCAGCCGCCCACUGUUCCCUGCUUCACCGGACCUCCUUCCCCGCACCAAGUCCCGCUGCCGUCCGCCCCCUGCAUCCUCUGCUUCGAGCAGGAGGACGAGCGCUCGACCGCGCGCGUUGACCGCACCCCUGCUUCGUCCACGUGCCUGGGCCACCUCUGCUUCGGCCCAGCCGCUCCCCCGCGUCGCGCAAGGCCCAGCUCCCCAAGUUUUCCUUCUCUAUAGAUGGGCCUUGGCCCAUGCUUCGGUUUCGUUCCGAAGUUGUGAGGAUUCCUUCGACUACGUUGGUUCGUCUACUUCAUGGAUUCGGUCUUCUUCCUAGUGCAAUUUCAGGCAAGAUGACCAUUACCCUCGAUAUCACAUCUAUCUUUGCUUUGCUAGUUGUUCGCUCUAUCGCUAUGUUGUACUACCUACCACUUGUUUUUCAUGCCUCUCAUAUUGCCACGUCAAGCCUCUAACCCACCUUCCUAGCAAACCGUUGUUUGGCUAUGUUACCGCUUUGCUCAGCCCCUCUUAUAGUGUUGCUAGUUGCAGGUGAAGUUGAAGAUUGCUCCAUGUUGGAACAUGGAUAUGUUGGGAUAUCACAAUA
This is a non-coding RNA of Aegilops tauschii subsp. strangulata, 928 nucleotides long. NCBI's taxonomy places the organism in Eukaryota, Viridiplantae, Streptophyta, Magnoliopsida, Poales, Poaceae. The record is from RefSeq and is a predicted model, not a curated record.